RNAcentral lists this ribosomal RNA (476 nucleotides) under uncultured bacterium. RNAcentral's name for it is "bacterial SSU rRNA". It matches the Rfam family "Bacterial small subunit ribosomal RNA", at positions 29 to 478 of the family's 1533-position model. The record is from RNAcentral.
AACGAACGCUGGCGGCGUGGAUAAGACAUGCAAGUCGAACGAUCACUAUUGGGUAGCAAUAUUCGGUAGUGGGAGUGGCGCAAGGGUGCGUAACACGUGGGUAAUUUGCCGUAAAGUCUGGGAUAACUUGCUGAAAGGCGAGCUAAUACCGGAUGUGAUUGCUGGAGGGCAUCCUCUGGCACUUAAAGUCGGGGACCGCAAGGCCUGACACUUUUCGAUAAGCCCGCGGCCUAUCAGCUAGUUGGUGAGGUAACGGCUCACCAAGGCUAAGACGGGUAGCUGGUCUGAGAGGACGACCAGCCUCACUGGAACUGAGACACGGUCCAGACACCUACGGGUGGCAGCAGUCGAGAAUUUUUCUCAAUGGGGAAACCCUGAAGGAGCGACGCCGCGUGGGGGAUGAAUGGCUUCGGCCCGUAAACCCCUGUCAUUUGCGAUCAAACCUUACGACCUAACACGUCGUAAGCUGAUAGUAG